RNAcentral lists this ribosomal RNA (168 nucleotides) under uncultured Rahnella sp. RNAcentral's name for it is "partial 16S ribosomal RNA". The record is from RNAcentral. Lineage: Bacteria; Pseudomonadati; Pseudomonadota; Gammaproteobacteria; Enterobacterales; Yersiniaceae.
GUGCUUCUUCUGCGAGUAACGUCAAUGUCACAGUGCUAUUAACACUGAACCCUUCCUCCUCGCUGAAAGUGCUUUACAACCCUAAGGCCUUCUUCACACACGCGGCAUGGCUGCAUCAGGCUUGCGCCCAUUGUGCAAUAUUCCCCACUGCUGCCUCCCGUAGGAGUA